AUUGAACGCUGGCGGCAUGCCUUACACAUGCAAGUCGAACGGUAACGGGUCCUUCGAGAUGCCGACGAGUGGCGAACGGGUGAGUAAUAUAUCGGAACGUGCCCAGUAGUGGGGGAUAACUGCUCGAAAGAGCAGCUAAUACCGCAUACGACCUGAGGGUGAAAGGGGGGGAUCGCAAGACCUCUCGCUAUUGGAGCGGCCGAUAUCAGAUUAGCUAGUUGGUGGGGUAAAGGCCUACCAAGGCAACGAUCUGUAGUUGGUCUGAGAGGACGACCAGCCACACUAGGACUGAGACACGGCCCAGACUCCUACGGGAGGCAGCAGUGGGGAACUUUGGACAAUGGGCGCAAGCCUGAUCCAGCAAUGCCGCGUGCAGGAAGAAGGCCUUCGGGUUGUAAACUGCUUUUGUCAGGGAAGAAAUCUUCUGGGCUAAUACCCCGGGAGGAUGACGGUACCUGAAGAAUAAGCACCGGCUAACUACGUGCCAGCCGCCGCAGUAA
Molecule: ribosomal RNA, 500 nt
Filed under: uncultured bacterium
Lineage: Bacteria
Description: partial 16S ribosomal RNA
Rfam family: Bacterial small subunit ribosomal RNA
Source: RNAcentral